GUAUAGAGAAGCAAGGGUCUUAUUGUUAGAGUGUGGAAAGUAGUUACCACCAACGGAGCGGAAAUCAUAAUCUGGGACCUUAAAGGCAGGUUCAGAACCAAGGCCAACUUCUGACACAACAGAAGCUAUUACAGCGCUAAGUAUAACCAUGGAAGUAGUGUUUGUGAGAGAUGCAGACGAAUCUAACGACGACGGCCACAAGACAGACUCCACGGCGAAGA
RNAcentral lists this unclassified non-coding RNA (221 nucleotides) under Hevea brasiliensis (rubber tree). The record is from RNAcentral. Lineage: Eukaryota; Viridiplantae; Streptophyta; Magnoliopsida; Malpighiales; Euphorbiaceae.